This 240-nucleotide ribosomal RNA is filed under the name uncultured bacterium. RNAcentral's name for it is "partial 16S ribosomal RNA". It matches the Rfam family "Bacterial small subunit ribosomal RNA", at positions 94 to 334 of the family's 1533-position model. The record is from RNAcentral.
AGCGGCGGACGGGUGAGUAACGCGUGGGUAACCUGCCUCAUACAGGGGGAUAACAGUUAGAAAUGGCUGCUAAUACCGCAUAAGACCACAGCACCGCAUGGUGCGGGGGUAAAAACUCCGGUGGUAUGAGAUGGACCCGCGUCUGAUUAGCUUGUUGGCGGGGUAACGGCCCACCAAGGCGACGAUCAGUAGCCGGCCUGAGAGGGCGACCGGCCACAUUGGGACUGAGACACGGCCCAA